Long non-coding RNA from Saccostrea cuccullata (small rock oyster), 605 nucleotides. RefSeq lists it as uncharacterized. The transcript has 4 exons. The record is from RefSeq and is a predicted model, not a curated record. NCBI's taxonomy places the organism in Eukaryota, Metazoa, Mollusca, Bivalvia, Ostreida, Ostreidae.
UGUGGGUAUUACUGGACAAAUUAAUAGAGGGAGUGAAGGACAAACUUAAAUCCCGGACUACGUAAUGUUGUCUAUGUAAUCGACGAUAGAACAUAACUUUACCUAUCAUUAAUUAUGACUUAGGUAUAAAAUGACUAGGGGGCGUACAUAUAGGGCAAUUUGUCAGUUCUAUAACCCAGACACCAUGAAAACCAAAGACUAGAAGUGUGGACACUGAUACGGGAUUGACCAAGCUGUCAAAUCAUCAUGUUUUUUAUCAUAACCUGUGCCAUCAAUAUACUGACGUUUGUCUGUAGUUUGACUGUUUGGUAGAACUGGCUGCGAGACUUCUUACAGUCUGAUAUUUCUGUUUGAGGUGUACAGAGCCAGGACCCACUAGUAUGAUUGACUGAGGAUUAGUAUGACUGUUUGAUACCUGUGUAUCUAGGGAGAAUGAAUGAGGCUGCAGAGAUCACAGUCAUAGUUCUUAAUGCCAAAGGUUUGCAGAGCAAGAGACCAGGAAAAUGUAAAUUCUCAGUAAUAUUUGGAGUGGGUUCAAAAAAGUAUAGAACAGCUGUAGUCAAAGACCCAGAGGGAAACCCGGAGUGGAGUGAGGAAUCCACAAU